Molecule: long non-coding RNA, 809 nt
Organism: Anguilla anguilla (European eel)
Lineage: Eukaryota; Metazoa; Chordata; Actinopteri; Anguilliformes; Anguillidae
Exons: 2
Source: RefSeq, a predicted model, not a curated record
UACUUAUAAUACACAACAAAUGUCCGUAAAAAUGAUGCAAUUUUAAAAUAAGCUUCACUGAAGCGUGCCAUGUUGAGUAACGAUUUUACCCUUUGUCCUAGACCUCAAGCCUUAUAAAGUUAUGUUUGUUUGAAACUCGAAUGUGGGGUAACUGUUGUGUUUCAGUCUCUAACCUAAUCUAGAUUACAAAAUUAUAUCCAGAUUGUGUAUGCACGUAACCAUUUUUAAUUUGUGUCCCCCCAUGUAGAAAUUUUCCAUCAUCAUGUAAAGGGUUUCAUGGGAGCGUGGUGUACUGUUUGGAAGUGCAGAUACACAGACCAUGGAGAAUGUCCAAGAAGUUCCAGUCAGAAUUUAAUUUUGUCAGCAAAGUAGAAGUGAACCACCCACAACUGCUAGUGCCACAGUCAGCUUCCAGUAACAAGAAGCUGUGUUGCCUCUGCUGCGCCUCAGGGCCCAUCUCCAUAGGCGUUCAACUGGAGAAGAAGAGUUUUGCUCCAGGUACCAAAACUCCUCAUAAGUGCAAUGUGCUGCUGCACCCAGAAUGAAGCAGGUGCUCUCCAUAGAAUGAAUUGACAUGAAUUGCACCAGUCUUCAGAGACCAUGUAGCCUAUCACCAUAACUAUGACUAACCACCUUGUUUUCCUUCUUGGUGCAGCAUUUACCCUUCCAAGUACUCAUAAAUCAGCUUUAUAAAUGUCAUUGUAACAGGUUCUGAAGUGCUUCUUCCCACAAACCACACAAUCCGUCGUUCCUAGAUGCACACAGACUUUGUGUGCUCAAUACAAAAAAACACGAAACACAAACAAAAC